UGGGGAAUAUUGGACAAUGGGCGAAAGCCUGAUCCAGCAAUGCCGCGUGAGUGAUGAAGGCCCUAGGGUUGUAAAGCUCUUUUACCCGGGAUGAUAAUGACAGUACCGGGAGAAUAAGCUCCGGCUAACUUCGUGCCAGCAGCCGCGGUAAUACGAGGGGAGCUAGCGUUGUUCGGAAUUACUGGGCGUAAAGCGCGCGUAGGCGGUUUUUUAAGUCAGAGGUGAAAGCCCGGGGCUCAACCCCGGAAUUGCCUUUGAAACUGGAGAACUAGAAUCUUGGAGAGGUCAGUGGAAUUCCGAGUGUAGAGGUGAAAUUCGUAGAUAUUCGGAAGAACACCGGUGGCGAAGGCGACUGACUGGACAAGUAUUGACGCUGAGGUGCGAAAGCGUGG
Molecule: ribosomal RNA, 392 nt
Filed under: uncultured bacterium
Lineage: Bacteria
Description: bacterial SSU rRNA
Rfam family: Bacterial small subunit ribosomal RNA
Source: RNAcentral